GAGUAUCCCCGUGUUGUUGGGCUUCAAUUGCCGCUCUUCCAACCAACGCCCGUAUUUGAGGCGUCCCACCCACUCAGCUUUCGUGUGGUCACACAUGGUGGGUGGUGGCGAAAAGAGAAAGAUUUAACUUUUCCGUUUCCCCUGGCUUAAAGAAAGCAUAAAAAGUAGAAGAUCUUAGAUAUAAAAAAGUGGAAAGACAAAGCUAUCAAUCAUCGAAACGCCAACAAAUGGAUCCAUCUCUUUUAGCCGUCUGCCCCUCCCUCCUUGCUUUCUUUCCUGCUACUUAUCUCUACACCCUUAUGCUGCUACCACGUUAAUUCAAAACCAAAACUCUCUCUUUCUCAAUAUGAGUGUGUUAGGUAGUAGGCCAUAGCUCCCACUUAUUAACUCAUUUCUGCUUUUCUAACCACACAUACUUGUCUUUCUCUGUAUACAAUACCACAUGGUAUGGGCGUGCAUGUAUAUAUUUUACUAAAAUAAAACCCCAUCCACCAUUCAUCGUAUGUUGUUUCCUUUUUUGGUUAAACAAUACAAACUCGAGAUUCCUGCUUGCUUCUUUCUGUCUUCUUUCGUCUUCUUCUUCACUCCUAACUUUUGCUUGCUCUUCCAACUCCUGCACUUACAGUCGGACUUCUACACAAGCGUUGGAAGCUUCUACCCCUCGUCGAUUAGAUUCUGAAAAUUAAUUUUGUUGGAACAAAUGGAAGACGAAAACUCAGAUGCUUCUUCAAACAAAGCCCCCUCUGUUUCUCAGGUGGUAGAACAGUUGAAAGAGCUAUGGGGUAUGACCUUACCGGUAACUACCAUGAACUUCUUGGUAUUUCUUAGGCAGGUGGUCUCUGUCUUGUUUUUGGGCAGAAUUGGUAGCCUGGAGUUAGCAGGUGGUGCACUUGCAAUAGGAUUUACAAAUAUCACAGGCUAUUCUGUUAUGGUGGGUUUAGCCGCUGGGUUAGAACCCAUAUGCAGCCAAGCCUACGGAAGCAAGAAUUGGGAUCUCCUCUGUCUUUCUCUGCAACGCAUGAUCUUAAUCCUCCUCGUUGCAACCAUACCCAUCGCCUUUCUCUGGAUCAAUCUCGACAAUAUCAUGGUAUUUUUAGGCCAAGAUCCACAAAUCACAGGGAUGGCGGCUAUUUACUGUAUUUAUUCUCUUCCAGACCUUUUAACAAACACCUUGCUGCAACCAUUAAAAACAUUUUUAAGGUCACAAAAGGACACGAAACCCAUGAUGUAUUGCACCCUAGUAGCAGUUGGCCUUCAUGUGCCUCUGAACUACGUGAUGGUGGUGGUGCUGGGGCUGGGAACGCAAGGAGUGGCGAUAGCUUCGGUGCUAACAAAUAUGAACAUUGCGGGGUUGAUGUCAGGAUACGUGUGGGUAUGGGGGAGGAAAGGUGAGAUGAGAUGGACGUUGAAGGUGGGAGAGGUUUGUGGAGGCGUGGGGCCGGUGCUAAAAUUGGCUGUACCGAGUUGCUUGGGAAUAUGUUUGGAGUGGUGGUGGUAUGAAAUAGUGACAGUGUUGUCUGGUUAUUUGUCCAACCCAACGUCGGCUGUGGCCGCCACUGGGAUUCUCAUCCAAACUACAAGCAUGAUGUACACAGUACCCUUGGCUCUCGCUGGUUGCGUCUCCGCCAGGUUUUUCAGUCAUUAUCGGUCAUGGUCAACUGGUAAAACCCUUCAACUCGGUAAAAUUAUAUACCGACAAACUUGCACCAAUAACCCACGUCAGAUUCUAAUCCUAUAUUUUUUUUUGAUAUGGAACCUUUCAUUUUCAGCCGUCUCUUUCUCUUUUGUUUGGUUAUUUUGUUUUCUUACACGGAUGUUUAUGUACUCCAUAUCUUCAAAAAGGCAUGAGAUGCUUAAUGCGUUUUCCCACUUUCGAUUAGACUUUAGUGGUUCUUACCGUGAAGGAUGGUCUCCUUCCACCGCUGCUCCUGCACGGGUACUUCUCUCUAAAGGUACCACACUCUACUUUCCCUGUAUUUUAUACAAAUUGUUUUGCUCCUUCAUCUUCACCGCGAGAGCUCCCAUCAGUUAGUUAUCAAGCUCUGUUGCAAGAGCUUGCUUUUUUCUCCAGACCCACGUUCUAUCUCUACACUAUAGAUCUUUCAUCACUCAGCGGUUUAGGGGCCUUAUUUUUCCUCUCACUGAAUCAAUGUUUUACUAAUUCUAACACCAAUUUUGCGAUUCAUAUUUCCAGCAGUUUGAUUCAAGUUAAAGGUAUUUGUUCUUUAAAUUGAAAAGGGGGAAGUUAUUUUGUUCAUCUUUUUCAUCAGUAGGAGUUGGAUUCUUCAGUCGUUUUUGUUUACCCGUUGUUUUCGUGUUCGUGGUUCAUUUGUUGAGAGAAUUUCUUCAAAGCAGUUCCUUAUAGUUGAAAAUGAAUCUUGCUCUCUAAAUCGGGAGCUUGAACUAAUUAUGGGUGAUGACAAAGGUAUGUAAGCUGUAAAGGGCUUAUGCAGCAGCCUUCUAAUGUACGGGGGUUGGAGAACUGGGAAGGAGGUGGGUGUGCACGUGUACGGAGGGAUAGAGGUAGGGAACGAGCUGGGAAGUGGAAAGCCAAAGAAAGCGAAGGUUGCAGCGGUGGUGGCAUUGGGAUGUGCAUUUGUAAUAGGCGGAAUCAACGUGACGUGGACGGUGAUUCUGAGGCGCACAUGGGCCAGGCUUUUC
This is a non-coding RNA of Cucurbita pepo subsp. pepo (vegetable marrow), 2661 nucleotides long. NCBI's taxonomy places the organism in Eukaryota, Viridiplantae, Streptophyta, Magnoliopsida, Cucurbitales, Cucurbitaceae. The record is from RefSeq and is a predicted model, not a curated record.